AAUAGAUACCCCGGUAGUCCACGCCGUAAACGAUGAGUGCUAAGUGUUAGAGGGUUUCCGCCCUUUAGUGCUGCAGCUAACGCAUUAAGCACUCCGCCUGGGGAGUACGGUCGCAAGACUGAAACUCAAAGGAAUUGACGGGGGCCCGCACAAGCGGUGGAGCAUGUGGUUUAAUUCGAAGCAACGCGAAGAACCUUACCAGGUCUUGACAUCCUCUGACAACUCUAGAGAUAGAGCGUUCCCCUUCGGGGGACAGAGUGACAGGUGGUGCAUGGUUGUCGUCAGCUCGUGUCGUGAGAUGUUGGGUUAAGUCCCGCAACGAGCGCAACCCUUGAUCUUAGUUGCCAUCAUUCAGUUGGGCACUCUAAGGUGACUGCCGGUGACAAACCGGAGGAAGGUGGGGAUGACGUCAAAUCAUCAUGCCCCUUAUGACCUGGGCUACACACGUGCUACAAUGGAUGGUACAAAGGGCUGCAAGACCGCGAGGUCAAGCCAAUCCCAUAAACCAUUCUCAGUUCGGAUUGUAGG
This 528-nucleotide ribosomal RNA is filed under the name uncultured bacterium. RNAcentral describes it as "bacterial SSU rRNA". It matches the Rfam family "Bacterial small subunit ribosomal RNA", at positions 777 to 1304 of the family's 1533-position model. The record is from RNAcentral.